AUUGAACGCUGGCGGCAGGCCUAACACAUGCAAGUCGAGCGGUAGAGAGGUGCUUGCAUCUCUUGAGAGCGGCGGACGGGUGAGUAAUGCCUAGGAAUCUGCCUAGUGGUGGGGGAUAACGUUCGGAAACGGACGCUAAUACCGCAUACGUCCUACGGGAGAAAGCGGGGGGAUCUUCGGACCUCGCGCCAUUAGAUGAGCCUAGGUCGGAUUAGCUAGUUGGUGAGGUAAUGGCUCACCAAGGCGACGAUCCGUAACUGGUCUGAGAGGAUGAUCAGUCACACUGGAACUGAGACACGGUCCAGACUCCUACGGGAGGCAGCAGUGGGGAAUAUUGGACAAUGGGCGCAAGCCUGAUCCAGCCAUGCCGCGUGUGUGAAGAAGGCCUCGGUUGUAAG
Molecule: ribosomal RNA, 398 nt
Filed under: uncultured bacterium
Lineage: Bacteria
Description: bacterial SSU rRNA
Rfam family: Bacterial small subunit ribosomal RNA
Source: RNAcentral